RNAcentral lists this ribosomal RNA (251 nucleotides) under uncultured prokaryote. RNAcentral's name for it is "partial 16S rRNA". It matches the Rfam family "Bacterial small subunit ribosomal RNA", at positions 525 to 775 of the family's 1533-position model. The record is from RNAcentral.
ACGGAGGGUGCAAGCGUUAAUCGGAAUUACUGGGCGUAAAGCGCACGCAGGCGGUUUGUUAAGUCAGAUGUGAAAUCCCCGGGCUCAACCUGGGAACUGCAUCUGAUACUGGCAAGCUUGAGUCUCGUAGAGGGGGGUAGAAUUCCAGGUGGAGCGGUGAAAGGAGUAGAUAUCUGGAGGAAUUCCGGUGGCGAAGGCGGCCAUCUGGACGAAUACUGACGCUCAGGUGCGAGAGCGUGGGUAGCAUACAG